AAGAUUCUGCCACCGGGUAGAAACAUGCGAAAGCAUUCGCUACACAUCGUUAGGUCUUGGAAGAUGUGUAUGCGGAUGCUUAUUUUUUU
RNAcentral lists this non-coding RNA (89 nucleotides) under unclassified sequences. The record is from RNAcentral.